GCUACCUAUAUAAGCAGCACUUAUACUAAAAUUGGGACGAUACUGAGAUCAGCACGGCCCCCGAAUAAGGAUGGCAUGCAACUUCUGAAGCACACCAUAUUUAA
Small nuclear RNA from Pipistrellus kuhlii (Kuhl's pipistrelle), 104 nucleotides. The record is from RefSeq and is a predicted model, not a curated record. Lineage: Eukaryota; Metazoa; Chordata; Mammalia; Chiroptera; Vespertilionidae.